Long non-coding RNA from Betta splendens (Siamese fighting fish), 1362 nucleotides. RefSeq lists it as uncharacterized. The transcript is spliced from 2 exons. The record is from RefSeq and is a predicted model, not a curated record. NCBI's taxonomy places the organism in Eukaryota, Metazoa, Chordata, Actinopteri, Anabantiformes, Osphronemidae.
CCGGAGCCUCGGAGCCUCGGAGCCCCGGAGCCUCAGAGCCUCGGAGCCUCGGAGCCCCCGACCCCCGACCCCCUCACAGCGGCCGUGCGUUCGUCCGUCUGCUCGGCGCUUUGGAGUGAAACUAAACCCUGGCUCAACUUUUAUCUGUGCGACCAGACAGAGCAGUGCAUGUACUACAUGAAGCAGCUGAAGCCGCAGGCCGUUGCUGCAGCCACCGAGGGCACAGCUCCAGUGCUUCAUGCGGGUCCAGGUGUCAGAGCCCAGAAGAGGAAACGCUUUGACAAAGCGAACGCAGUCCAAUCCAAGCCAGGAGGUUCAGGGAGCGUGAUGUGGGACUGAAAGGACAGUGAAGAGGCAGCUACUGGGCUGAACACACUUCAGAAGGCAAACAGCAUAGACGUCAACCACGCUGGGACACGGCGUUUACAUCUGACGCUCACUUAUACGUUGCUGGAGGAUAAAUUGGAGCGUUACACCCAUCAGUUGCCAUAGCGAUGAGGGGAAAUGUGUCAUAACGAUCAUUUCUGGAUCAUUGAUGUGUCUUCAAUCUCUGCCUGGCUCUUCAGUAAAUUCAUCUAUUUCCGUUUGAAAUAAGAAUAUCUGACGCUGAGUUGUGUUUGUAGAACAUGAACAUAAAUACGACUAAGCGCCAUUUAUUUCCUUCCUGUCCAGUGUGUUUGUGCCUCUUUAGUGCUCUGUCGAAUGUUAACUUGACCUUGAUUUAUUUGCUCCCCCACACACGCACGCACGCACACACACACUCCAGUUACUUUAAGUAUUUGCCCGACCUCUGGCCUCAGAUAAUGACAUGCAUCGACUGGAACCUGCAUCCGUUUUGCACUGCGUGACACUUCCUGCGCCCUCCGCUGCGCCCAUGUUCACUUCAGGACUUGAGUAAUGGCUGAUGAGUGACGUGCUCACUUAUCACCCAUGCUGCUCUCCCUCACACACCCUCACACCCUCUCACCACCUUCACCUGCUUGUCCUCCGCUUUACCCCGACCCCUCCAUCCGUCCUCCUAACCCCCCCACAACCGGCCCGCUCUGACCAACGGGUGCGCCCUCCAAUCAAUUAGUUCACGUGUUCUGUAAUGACAGCAGCUGGGGCCUGGCGGGCGUCUCUGUGUUAGCAGAAUUUUACUGGCCACGAGAACUCUCCGGAUGAGAUGCCUCCCAUUUAUUCGCCCCAGGGAGGGAGAGAUGGAAGCGUGCAUAUGUCUAUCCGUCUCCGUGCCUUUAUUUUCACAGCAUCUGGUCUGUGUCAGAGCCAGCUGGCCACAUGAGCCAGAACUGGCCGAGAGCGAGGCUAGUUUAGAUUCAAAAUAAAAUUGCAUUUAAACUUUCAAUUAAAUUAAAACUUGGA